This is a non-coding RNA of Otolemur garnettii (small-eared galago), 287 nucleotides long. The record is from Rfam. NCBI's taxonomy places the organism in Eukaryota, Metazoa, Chordata, Mammalia, Primates, Galagidae.
GCCAGAUGCAGUAGCACGUGCCUAUAGUCCCAGCUAUUCGGGAGGCUGAGACAGGAGGAACACUUGAGUCCAGGAGUUCUGGGCUGUAGUGUGCUAUGCUGAUCAGGUGUCUGCACUAAGUUCAGCAUCAAUAUGGUGACCUCCCAGGAGCAAGGGACCACCAGAUUGCCUAAGGAAGAGUGAACUGGCCCAGGUUGGAAACAGAGCAUAUCAAAACUCCUGUGCUAUUCCGUAGUGGGAUUGCACCUGCACUCUGGCCUGGGCAAUAUAGUGAGACUCUGUCUCUA